RNAcentral lists this ribosomal RNA (434 nucleotides) under uncultured bacterium. RNAcentral's name for it is "partial 16S ribosomal RNA". It matches the Rfam family "Bacterial small subunit ribosomal RNA", at positions 29 to 507 of the family's 1533-position model. The record is from RNAcentral.
AGCGAACGCUGGCGGCAGGCCUAACACAUGCAAGUCGAACGAACCUUUCGGGGUUAGUGGCGGACGGGUGAGUAACACGUGGGAACGUGCCUUUAGGUUCGGAAUAACUCAGGGAAACUUGUGCUAAUACCGAAUGUGCCCUUCGGGGGAAAGAUUAAUCGCCUUUAGAGCGGCCCGCGUCUGAUUAGCUAGUUGGUUGAGGUAAUGGCUCACCAAGGCGACGUUCAGUAGCUGGUCUGAGAGGAUGAUCAGCCACAUUGGGACUGAGACACGGCCCAAACUCCUACGGGAGGGAGCAGUGGGGAAUCUUGCGCAAUGGGCGAAAGCCUGACGCAGCCAUGCCGGGUGAAUGAUGAAGGUCUUAGGAUUGUAAAAUUCUUUCACCGGGGACGAUAAUGACGGUACCCGGAGAAGAAGCCCCGGCUAACUUCGUG